CCUACGGGGGGCAGCAGUGGGGAAUAUUGGGCAAUGGGCGCAAGCCUGACCCAGCAACGCCGCGUGAAGGAAGAAGGCUUUCGGGUUGUAAACUUCUUUUGUCAGGGAAGAGUAGAAGACGGUACCUGACGAAUAAGCCACGGCUAACUACGUGCCAGCAGCCGCGGUAAUACGUAGGUUGCAAGCGUUGUCCGGAUUUACUGGGUGUAAAGGGCGUGUAGGCGGGAGUGCAAGUCAGAUGUGAAAACUAUGGGCUCAACCCAUAGCCUGCAUUUGAAACUGUACUUCUUGAGUGCUGGAGAGGCAAUCGGAAUUCCGUGUGGAGCGGGGAAAUGCGUAGAUAUACGGAUGAACACCAGUGGCGAAGGCGGAUUGCUGGACAGUAACUGACGCUGAGGCGCGAAAGCGUGGGGAGCAAACAGGAUUAGAUACCCGAGUAGUC
Molecule: ribosomal RNA, 442 nt
Filed under: uncultured bacterium
Lineage: Bacteria
Description: partial 16S ribosomal RNA
Rfam family: Bacterial small subunit ribosomal RNA
Source: RNAcentral